Molecule: long non-coding RNA, 394 nt
Organism: Xenia sp. Carnegie-2017
Lineage: Eukaryota; Metazoa; Cnidaria; Anthozoa; Malacalcyonacea; Xeniidae
Exons: 2
Source: RefSeq, a predicted model, not a curated record
GUAACGUUUAUAUGAAAUACGACACCGGAUUCUCAGUAUUCCUACGGUAUUUCUUGGUAAGUGCAGGUAUUCGAUAGAGCAACUACAAAAAAAGAAGAAAUUCUCAUAACAUUAGUCAAUAAUGAUGAAAAAAGUUUCAGAUUCAAACUACAAACUUGUCCAGUCGCCAGCAGUGCGAAUAUGAACGCAAAACGUCUCUUGCUCUGGGCUCUAAAUAAAGUUUAUAGUUGUGCAUAUACGUCGAUGGAGCAAAUACUUUAUGUUAGCGACAAAUGUAAGCACGUACGGAGGUAAGAGUAAAUGGAUGCCAUUCCAAAUGAGAAAUUUUUGGACAUUGAAGAAACACAUACUGUAAAAUAAAGUUUAUAAAAACAUAUGAAUGAAUGACUGUCCA